This 243-nucleotide long non-coding RNA is filed under the name Salvia miltiorrhiza (redroot sage). RNAcentral's name for it is "long non-coding RNA (SMIL_LNC013654)". The record is from RNAcentral. Lineage: Eukaryota; Viridiplantae; Streptophyta; Magnoliopsida; Lamiales; Lamiaceae.
GGGUGACAAUUUGAUAAAAUUAACAUUUAUGGGGGACAAUUUUGGAAACAGUCUUCUGCAUAGCGAUAACAAGCACCGGUAGAUAAGCAACACGUGCAACGCCCACCAUCAGAACACGGGUUGGUUCCGCAAUCACCUCCACCUCCCUUCACUCCAAUAAUGUUGGCUUCUACUUCAUGCCUAAUACCUAUAUCAAAAUUUACUUCACUCCAAUAAUGUUGGCUUCUACUUCAUGCCUAAUAC